This 460-nucleotide ribosomal RNA is filed under the name uncultured bacterium. RNAcentral describes it as "partial 16S ribosomal RNA". It matches the Rfam family "Bacterial small subunit ribosomal RNA", at positions 338 to 795 of the family's 1533-position model. The record is from RNAcentral.
CCUACGGGUGGCAGCAGUGAGGAAUAUUGGUCAAUGGACGAGAGUCUGAACCAGCCAAGUAGCGUGAAGGAUGACUGCCCUAUGGGUUGUAAACUUCUUUUAUAUGGGAAUAAAACGUUCCACGUGUGGGAUUUUGUAUGUACCAUAUGAAUAAGGAUCGGCUAACUCCGUGCCAGCAGCCGCGGUAAUACGGAGGAUCCGAGAGUUAUCCGGAUUUAUUGGGUUUAAAGGGAGCGUAGGUGGAUUGUUAAGUCAGUUGUGAAAGUUUGCGGCUCAACCGUAAAAUUGCAGUUGAAACUGGCAGUCUUGAGUACAGUAGAGGUGGGCGGAAUUCGUGGUGUAGCGGUGAAAUGCUUAGAUAUCACGAAGAACUCCGAUUGCGAAGGCAGUUCACUGGACUGCAACUGACACUGAGGCUCGAAAGUGUGGGUAUCAAACAGGAUUAGAUACCCUAGUAGUC